GGUAGGUUGGCAGAGUGGUUUAUUGCACCGGACUGAAAAUCUGGCGAGGAGUCGCUUCCUCCAAGGGUUCAAAUCCCUUACCUACCGCCA
RNAcentral lists this transfer RNA (90 nucleotides) under Mesorhizobium sp. WSM3862. Its description in RNAcentral is "tRNA-Phe". It matches the Rfam family "tRNA". Rfam says of the family: Transfer RNA (tRNA) molecules are approximately 80 nucleotides in length. Lineage: Bacteria; Pseudomonadati; Pseudomonadota; Alphaproteobacteria; Hyphomicrobiales; Phyllobacteriaceae. The record is from RNAcentral.